GAAAACUAUCCGACACAUUUGAGCCACCUUUGCCCCUUUUCCAAGUGCCCGCACCUUUGUGUUGUUCCUCGCCUGACGAAACCUCUGGCCUCACUUUAGCCUGCCAGAGAUUUGCAGGAAUCCAAACACACACAACCUGACGUGAACCUUCACCCCCGCACGUCUUAACAUCUAUCAGUCGUGAUGUUCCUUCGGCGCCCUCGCAUCAUUCCGGCCGACUCCCGUUCCAACGAAACGAUUCGUUCGGUGUUGCCUCCAACCCGCGCACCAAAUUUCAAACGGCCGUGCCGUCAUGACACGUUGACACCGGCGUCUCCGGUAAAUAGCUGGGCUCACCUCUGUGAGUGUAUUAUUAAUAGAGAAGGACACAAAGUUAAUCUGAUGAAGUGAGAUGGAGAGGCAAGAAGAGGGAGAGAGGGCGAGCGAGCCGACUGCAUUAGAGCACGUGUGAUUUAUUCGCCCCUCUAGGUGAAGGAGACCCCAUUUGUAUUCAUUUGCCUUUUUAUUUUUAUCCCGGAUUCAUCUGGCCUUCACGUGCCUGUCGCCACCACGCUAAUAUUAUUUUGGCCAUGUGCGGCUCCAUAACAGGCUCUUAUAAAAAUUGCCCCAGUGCGGCUGCAAGAUGCAAGAGGGAGGGGUGCUGGGUUUAUUUUAUAUCAUCCAUCUGAUUUGAUUCUUUUUUUUUUUUUUUUUUUACGGGAAGAUUAAAAGUCUCCCAGGGACAAGACGGUGAGAAAGGUGGAGAUAAUGAUGCCUGUCCUCCUAUAGAAACGGCGAGACGGGGGCACGCAAACACAAACGCGCAGGCACAUUUUUUUUUUUUUUUUUUUAUACAAGCCUGCCGCACACUCGACAGACGGCCUGGCCUUUUUUUUUUUUUUUCUUUCCUUUUAAGGCUGUCAAGGUGAGCCAGUGGUGCUCCAAGCCAAGGGCAAAGACAACAGUGACCACCAAGCUCCUUUUUGCAGAACAAUUAGAUGGAAGUGGAGGCUGACCGCAGUUGUGUUCCUCAAAUAGAGGAAAAAAAAAAAAAAAACCUGGACUGAAAUAAUGACAAAUAAAAUAAAUAAAUAAUUCUUAAAUUAAUUUUUACUGCACUCUUGAUGCUAAGCUAUGCUACAAAAAUGGAAGUGAAUAAUAAAUAAAGGAAAUAAUAACAAUUAAUAGGUAAAUAAAUAAAUAAACAAGUAAAUAUUCUUAGAUUCAUAUUUGCUGCACUCUUGAUGCUAAGCUACGCAAAAAAAAAAAUGGCGGCGCGAUUAAUCUCCAGUAAGAGAGCAAAAGCACAUAUUUCCCUCAAAGGCAAAUGAUUCUUUUCCUAACAGGAUGUGAGCAUGUUUUUUAAUGAACCCUCUUUCUCUCUCUCUCUCUCUCUCAGGGUUCUGCUCGCCAUCCGUCCACCCGAGUGCACCCAGCUGCGCAGCAAUUACAGCCAGGAGAACAUCCCACGCCCUGAAACCAUCGGGAAUCUGCGAUGGCUCAUUCCGUAAGACUGCAGUCUGACCCACUUUGUGCAAAUGUAUUCGGAUCAACUCUAUUUGAUGCGAGAGGUUUUCGAGCCCCAAUUUCUCCAGCGGAGGCGCCAUUGGUAUGCAGGCGCCGUCUGAUCCAAUGCAGAAGCCCAGUUAGGGGGAAGAAGAAAGGAGGAAACGUCCCUGGAUGGAUUUCCAAAGACGCCCACGGACACUUUUGGUGGCAACUUGACGGCGGCGCGGAGAUGGCGCAAAAGCGCCGAGGUGGCGGCUUUACCUUCUUUGAGCAGACGAGAGUGGAUGAGGAGGAUGAGGAAGCAGCAGAUCGCCGCUCCGACGUCGGUGACGUAUGGAGACAAGUGAGCGCCAUUUGCCAACAAGCACUUUGCCCUAAGAAGAUUGUGCAAAUCUAUCUAAUCAAAAGACACAAGUAAUUCCCGGAAGGAGCUUAAUGGACACGCUGCACUGAAAUGCCGAAACAACCUGCCAAGACGACCCCUUCAGCCCUUUUCUCUUGUUCUCCGUGGAAGCUGCUUCUGUUCCGGCUGGGAACCGACUGGACUGACAAAAUCAAGCUAUUGCUGUCCCAUACCACCCUACGAAAAGUUAAAAAUCCUAUUGUUACAGGAAAUGGUGAAAAAAUGGGAUACGAGUGACGGCCAGCUCAAAACAAAGUCAGUCAUAUUGUGAUUUGCGGCACUAAAUAUGACAAGUUGGUUCCUCCUUGUGGCACUUUGACAUUUUUUAAUAUACUUUGAGUUCACGUCGCUCCGUUUUGUUAUACUGAAGGAUUUUUGCGAGCCUUUUUUUUUUUUUAUUCUUUAUGAUUUAUUCAUGAAGUCACUGGCAUUGAAUGAAAAACCUUUAGCGAGUACUUAGUGAAUUAAAUGUGAGUUUUUUGUAAUUUAAUAUAAUGGAGUUGUAAUUUGAGCUUUGACCAGCAGGACCGGAUGGAGUGCCAGGAAGGCUGUGGAAGUGGCCGCCAGCUUGCUGCUGUUUUGUUGUAUUUCUUUUCUACAAUGAUUAUUAAGCUUCUUCUGUUGUUAAAAGUGUACUCCCUAUGCCAGAUAACAGCUGUUGAUUUUUUCAAAAACAUCCGUGAGGUAAAAAUGAAU
This is a long non-coding RNA of Syngnathus acus (greater pipefish), 2587 nucleotides long. RefSeq lists it as uncharacterized. The record is from RefSeq and is a predicted model, not a curated record. The transcript has 6 exons. Lineage: Eukaryota; Metazoa; Chordata; Actinopteri; Syngnathiformes; Syngnathidae.